This 513-nucleotide ribosomal RNA is filed under the name uncultured bacterium. Its description in RNAcentral is "bacterial SSU rRNA". It matches the Rfam family "Bacterial small subunit ribosomal RNA", at positions 17 to 518 of the family's 1533-position model. The record is from RNAcentral.
UUAUGGCUCAGGAAUGAACGCUAGCUACAGGCUUAACACAUGCAAGUCGAGGGGCAGCAGGGCAAUAGCUUGCUAUGUUGCUGGCGACCGGCGCACGGGUGAGUAACGCGUAUCCAACCUACCCCGCGGUCAGGGACAGCCCGGCGAAAGUCGGAUUAAUACCUGAUGCAGUCAGAAGAGGGCAUCUGAUUUUGACGAAAGAUUGAUCGCCUCGGGAUGGGGAUGCGUAGGAUUAGGCAGGCGGCGGGGUAACGGCCCACCGCGCCGACGAUCCUUAGGGGUUCUGAGAGGAAGGUCCCCCACACUGGUACUGAGACACGGACCAGACUCCUACGGGAGGCAGCAGUGAGGAAUAUUGGUCAAUGGGCGCGAGCCUGAACCAGCCAAGUAGCGUGCCAGGACGACGGCCCUAUGGGUUGUAAACUGCUUUUAUGCGGGGAUAAAGUGUGGGACGCGUCCCACAUUGCAGGUACCGCAUGAAUAAGGACCGGCUAAUUCCGUGCCAGCCGCCGC